Molecule: ribosomal RNA, 416 nt
Filed under: uncultured bacterium
Lineage: Bacteria
Description: bacterial SSU rRNA
Rfam family: Bacterial small subunit ribosomal RNA
Source: RNAcentral
UAAGGAAUAUUGGUCAAUGGACGCAAGUCUGAACCAGCCAUGCCGCGUGAAGGAUGAAGGUCCUCUGGAUUGUAAACUUCUUUUAUCUGGGACGAAAACGGGAUUUUUAUCUCAAUUGACGGUACCAGAGGAAUAAGCACCGGCUAACUCCGUGCCAGCAGCCGCGGUAAUACGGAGGGUGCGAGCGUUAUCCGGAUUUACUGGGUUUAAAGGGUGCGUAGGUGGGCUUAUAAGUCAGUGGUGAAAUCUCCGAGCUUAACUUGGAAACUGCCGUUGAUACUAUAGGUCUUGAAUUAUCUGGAGGUAAGCGGAAUAUUUCAUGUAGCGGUGAAAUGCUUAGAUAUGACAUAGAACGCCAAUUGCGAAGGCAGCUUACUACAUAUAAAUUGACGCUGAGGCACGAAAGCGUGGGGAUC